AUACGGAGGGUGCAAGCGUUACUCGGAAUCACUUGGCGUAAAGGACGCGUAGGCGGGAUGCCAAGUCUGAUGUGAAAUCCUAUGGCUCAACCAUAGAACUGCAUUGGAAACUGGUAACCUAGAGUAUGGGAGGGGGAGAUGGAAUUAGUGGUGUAGGGGUAAAAUCCGUAGAUAUCACUAGGAAUACCUAAAGCGAAGGCGAUCUCCUGGAACAAUACUGACGCUAAGGCGUGAAAGCGUGGGGAGCAAACGGGAUUAGAAACCCUAGUAGUCC
This 274-nucleotide ribosomal RNA is filed under the name uncultured bacterium. Its description in RNAcentral is "partial 16S ribosomal RNA". It matches the Rfam family "Bacterial small subunit ribosomal RNA", at positions 523 to 796 of the family's 1533-position model. The record is from RNAcentral.